Long non-coding RNA from Aethalodelphis obliquidens (Pacific white-sided dolphin), 9525 nucleotides. RefSeq lists it as uncharacterized. The transcript has 3 exons. NCBI's taxonomy places the organism in Eukaryota, Metazoa, Chordata, Mammalia, Artiodactyla, Delphinidae. The record is from RefSeq and is a predicted model, not a curated record.
UGCGGCAUGUGGGAUCUUCCUGGACCAGGGAUCGAACCUGUGUCCCCUGCAUUGGCAGGCGGAUUCUUAACCACUGCGCCACCAGGGAAGCCCGCCACUUCCUCUUUAGGAGCCCUGACUCAUCAUUCUCAGUGCAAAUCCCAUUCACAAUUUCUUUGAUAAUUGUUUGUUCCUUGGCCAGAAAUCUGGUUCUUGAAUUCCCUCUCCUGUUCUUUUCCAUGAUCUGGGAACCAUCUUUGCGAACCAACCCCAUCUCCGUUUUAUGGAGCCAGAAGGACAGAGAGGUAGAGCCCUGUCUAGGCAGCGACAGAGCAAGCCUACAGGAGCCGGGAAUGCCUCCUUACGUGAAUGCCCUCUUCUUGUCUUUGGAUGCGAAGGGAAAGGAUGUGAUCCCCGAAGGAAAGGGCAGGGUUGUCCAGAGCAGGGUGUGUUAUCAACUAGAAGAGCACCCGCACCCAGCCACCUCGAUCUAAAUGUGCACACAAUGGAAAUAUCUUCACAGCCAAGGGCCCCUCCCUCCCAAAGAGAAAAUCCCACAAGUGGGGAACAUCUGGAUCAAACCGCAACCAUGAAAGCACAACAUCAAACGAGGGUUUCAGAGGGACCCUCCCCGCAGGCCCUGCUCCAAGAGAAAUUGCAGAUCUUCCUGCUUGAAGCUUUUAAGUGUCACAGAACCACUCAAGUUUGGGAUCUCUCCUUAUUCACCAGAGACAGAUGUCCCCAAGUGAGUACGGUUGGGUUUGAUUACCCCCAGCGGGAGAGGAUGUGUGUGACCUGAUCCGGGCCACGUUGGGGGGUAGCCUGGGAUUUAAAGCUGUGAUGAGGGGCUCCAGCAGUUCAGGCUGGGGGCUGGGGAGAGAGAGGGGACAGGUGGGCCUUUUAAAACGUGCCUACAUCAAAGGUCUGAGUAGGCUCCCUUCCCAGCUUUUGGCGCCUCAGGGCAGGAAAGCAGUGAUUUCACCACAUAACUGCACGUAGGAGUAGGACGGAUCUCAGUCUGAGAACUUCUGGGGAAUGUGGAGAGGGGAGGGAGGGUGUUCCCCAGAGGGGAGGACAGGACAAGGGGGUUUUCUCAUUUCCAAAAUAGCCUGCCCAGGCCAAGGAGAAUGGGGCCAUAUGCUGCCUCCCUCCCACUCUCCCCCUGUGGAGGGAUGUGGGGGAGGGGGGCAUUCUUCCAGGGGGGAGAGGAGGGAGCAGCUGCAGCUGUGGGAGGUGGGAGCUGGGUCCGGAUGGAGAAUGAAGGGGAAGCAGGGGCAUCUUCCCCAAAGACACGAAGGAGGAAGGCUGCAGAGCAUGUAAUUCUAGGAGACGAUAGGCUCUUCCUUCCUGGGUCCUGGGAAUCAGAGAGCACCUGGCCACGAUGCUGGCAGGCUGGGAUGGACAGUGGGGAAGAUGGGAUAGGAAGGUGCCCCAGAUAUGGCUGGAAUCCCAGUUCAUGUUUGAAUACUCUGCCCAGAGGGCAGGUGGGUGAGAGAGUGCUGGGAUGUUGACAGCACGCUGUGACCUUGGUUGAAGAAGCCAAUGGUUUCUUCUUAAGGUGAAAGGUGACCUUCAGUUGGGAAGGGUGUGGGGAGAAGAAGGGUACCACUUGCUUAUAGUUUACAUUAGCCUCCCUUUCAGGAUGCCUUCCCUGCCCCCUUCCUCUCCCCUUUCCCCUGAGAGGUUUAUGUGUGGGCGUGGUACCCCACGAUGCCAGGGAGGUGUAUCACCGGUGGAGGUCCAUCCUUCACUGCCUUACAAAGAUCUGCUUACGGUUUCUUUUCCCAUCUAGACUGUCAGCUUUGAAGGCAUGGACUCCCUCACUGUAACUGGGUUGCUAGUGCCCCACACAGUGCCUGGCAGAGAGUAGCUGCUUGGUGAUGAAGCCCUGCUCCAGCUUCCAGCUGGAGCGCGUUCUCCCGCCGCCAGCCUUCUGGGAAACAAAACAACCCACGCGAUGAUUCCUCUGCAGCCUCGAGGCCUCUGAGGGGCUACCAGGGCAUCUCCUAUCUGACCUCCUCUGGGAGUCUUCUGGGGGGACCCUAGUUGACAGCACUCUCUCCCACCUCUGAAAUGUAUUGUCCACAAGAUUCACCCGGGAUUUCCCUGCUGGUCCAGCGGUUAAGGCUUCGCAAUUUCAGUGCCUCCUCUUCAGGGGGAACGAGUUCGAUCCCUGGUCGGGGAACUAACAUCCCCCAUGCGGUGCGUGGGGGCGGCCAAAACAAACAAAGAAACAAACGAAAGCAAACGAAAAAAGGUCUCACUACACCUUCAUGGUAAGGGCUAUUAUUGUUAUUUACUAAUCUGGGAUGGAUGUGUCUUUCUUGGUUGUGUGAGACCCGAGGCUCUUUGGGACCGCAGUGCCCAGCAUGGAGUCUCCUCAGGACAGGCUGGCUGUCGACUAGCUAACGCCUCCAAGUCCUAGUGUCUAAGCUUUUGAUGUGGUGGCUCCUCUGGGGCUCUGAUGGCUGAGCGUCGGGAACUGCUGAGUCGGGAUGUCUUGGCGUAAUCGGGUGAAUUGGACACACACGUGAAGGAGCCCGGUCCCAGUGAGGUGAGGCCUGAAUGACCCUGCAGGUCGAGAGAAUGCUUGAGCGGGAAUGUUGCGAAAAUGACCAAGGUCGGUGGGCUCUAUUCAGAAAAACUCUUUGGGCAAGGAACGUAUGAAAGAGGUUGGAAGGAGAGAAGGGCAGGGCUGGCAGAGGUUGCAGGAGGAUAUCCGGGUGGGAUAGGCUUGGCCGUGGGUGAGGAGGCUAAGGCGGCUCUGCCUGCAGGUGAGGGCCCAGGAGGGAGGGGCUUGGGCAAUUGUAAACAUUCCCUCUACACUGUGAGGACUGUGACCACGGCUCCACAACCCGCUCCCAUCCCUCCCCAAACUCUAGGCCAGGAGGGAUCCUACCUCUCACCGCCAUUUCUAGGCCCAGGCUGACCUGUGCUCCCGCGACAUCACCUGACACCGAGCUCGGGGUGGAUCAGCUUUGCUCUGUACCCUCGCGGUCCUCCCUGGGGCUGGAGCUGCCUUUGAAGUUGCUGGAGAGAAGAUUGGUGAGCUGUCGCCUGAGCCUAGAUCUCCCAGACAUCCGUGAGGGGAGGGGAUCUCCACUUUGAGCCCUUUUUCGGGGGGCUGAGGUGUUGACACUUUAGUUGUCAGAACUGACGUUUCUCAUCUGUGAAUGCGGCGCGAAGCUGACCGAAUUGCCAGCAUCUCUGGGCUGCUGGGUGGCAGCACUGCUCAGCUCCAGGGACCAACCACUCACCGCACUCCUGGAGCACAACUCCAGGUGGAGCCAUUCACAUAGAAUUUGACGUGUACGGUCGCCGCAUUCCCCGCUGCCCAAGGUCGCGCGGUGAUGGUGGGCCACCAUCGUGCCCUUUUUGAGGCAGGGUUCUGUUUACCAGUCUAAGCUAGUUAACCUGAGGACCAGGAAUAUUCAUGAGGCUUUGCCCGAGGACAGAGAGACGGACAAAAUAGUCUCCAAAGUCAUGUCCUCAUGAGACGUGGGCACCGGGAAACCAGAGUGUCUCCCAGACAACAGGUCCACAAAGCAGGGUGCAGUCUGAGGCCAAGUAGCAGGGAAAAGAAAUGACAAACUCCAUCCAUCGGGGAAGGAAAACUGUCUUUCACCCCCGGAUUGAAAAGAAUAACCCACGUGUAAAGACCCAGUGACACUUAGUAGGUCUGCAGUUACCAUGAGGUGAACCAGAAUCAGUGCUGACAUUCCAGCCUCUAGGUUCAGGGUUCUUGGAAGCAGAAAGGCCUAGCCACCCUGGUGACACUUGUGCAUGGGAAUUUGCUGAAAUCUGAAAUGAGAUCCUGACCCAGAUGGGGGUCAGGAAUUUGUUUCCUUCCCUUUUUCUCCUUCUUAGUUCACUGUUUAGGAUGAAAAAUGACAACCAGAUGAGCAAAAGAAUGAUUAUCAGGAAUGAUAAAUAAUACACUCCAGAUGUGGCCGGAGAGAAAUGCAACUGAAAGCACCACCGCCUCCAAGUAGUCACGUUGGGGCGACCCCCUUCUCCCAACAAGGCCACGAUGACAAAAGUUCUGUAACUCUUCUUUGGGAAUUGUCUUCAGGAAGUGGAGGGGAUGAGGUCAAAACGCACCCACACAGCAACCUGUUUCUAACAACGAUCGGUUAACCUACAUGAAGAACUCUCCAGUUGCAGAAGUUUCCUGGAUGUUUGCUUUCCUGAGGAAAGACCUGGAAGAAGGGGCUGCUGGCCUGCUUUUGAGUCUUGAUCCUCUCCCCUCCUGCCUCACCCGUGGACGCUGCCCUUGUCGUCAAGUAACAAGCUGGAUUCGAAAGGUGGGGAGGAAGGAAGGAGGAGGAUGUGGUGGUUUAGCAGUGGGGAUGAGCCCGGGGGGUAGAAGGGUCCCCUGCAGGUCAUAAAUGUUCUCUUGGAGGGUGGGGAGUCCCGGCCCAAGAUUCCUGAUCGUCUCCAUCCUCCAACCCAGAAAGAAGAGAAGGCUAGACUCAAGGAAGAACUUACUCAUUUUCAGUAGCGGAAACAAGCAGCUCCUCCUUCAGAGCUCUGUGAUAGGGCAAGGCCAAUUCCUAUUGACAGCAACGUUGCUCAGAGGCCUUGAAAUGGAAUUGCGGGGAGUGAGGGGACUGUUUCCUCAGGUGCCCUGUUGGUGGGGACAUUGUCACUUGUUGUCCUGGCACAAGGACUCCCGAAAGUGUGCAGUCACGCGCGCUGACCUAGCCACUCAGAGCCUAACUGACAAGCGUCUGCAGACACAGGAGUGUGCUCCGAGGAGCCUCUGGGGACAGGGCCCUGGGGUCCUCGUGGGUGGAACAAGCCCCCCUGAAGAACAAGCCAGGACACCAUUCAAAGAGGGGAGCUCUGGGGACCCUCUCCGCCGUCCACCACCUCCUCUCUCAUGAGCGAACCCCAGCGUUAGGGCACGUUGCAUCUACCCAGCACCACCCCUCACUGGCCGGGAGAACACAGACUUCCCUUGGGGCCCAGGACUGGAAGAAAUAGGAGUGCAUAUUUAUACUGGGUUGUGAGGGACACAAAGAUAAAAGGACCCAGAGAUCAAAGAGCCCCCAGAAGCUCGGUGUGCAGACCUCUGGGUCUAGGAUUUGUUCUGUAAACAGAUUUCCUUCUCCUUUGGGGAAAACUCACAUGGAGGGAUCCCUCCCUUAGGGCUUGUGGUGGUUCCACGCUGGGAGCAAGGGGACAGCCUGAGGUGGGCCUCGUUGGGACACAGGCCUGCCUCCUGCUGGGGCACAUCUCUGACUGCCCAAGCCGUGCAGAACUCCACAGAAGAAAGGGACAGGAAAGUUGUGUACAUGCCGUGGUGGGUGAAAGGCAGAACGAGCCCAGAUCAUCCAUUGACGUUUGUGCUUCCAUGUGGCUCCCAGGUCGAGAGGGUUCAGACCUUCCACGACUCAGGGCCCUGGGUUAAGGAGGGUGCGUGGAGAUCCUGAGCUGGGCACUUCCGGGCCACGGAGAACAAAGGAGCCGGGGUACAGGCAAACCUCCAUCAGAGAGGUCGUGUGUGUGUGUGUGUGUGUGUGUGUGUGUGUGUGCGCCUGUGGGUCAGCAUCCAUCCGUAGGGAGCGGGGAGGGAAAGAAAUGGUGAAGAGAAUAGGAGAAAGAGAAGAAAUAAAAAUGAAGGCACUGAAACAGAGAGAGCAAGCUAACAGACCCACACAAAGAGAGGCAGAGAAACACUGCAGGAGCCUGGGGACCAGGCAGCAGGAGGCGGGGAGGGGAGAGCCUCGGGAGGGUCAGCAGCGAAAACAAUCGGCCAGGCUUCUGCCCGGGAAGGUGGGCAGGAAGGCAGGGAGGGGAAUGGGUGGCAGAGAAAGCCCCCCCUUGCCGGGCAGGGCAGAGGAGCCGGAACCCGAGUCUCCCAGCUCCCAAGCAAUCAGCCUUCUCCCCCUGCCCUCGCCCUGAGCCCAGAGCUGAGAUUGACGGGACUGCAGCUUCUCUGGGUCUGGGUGGAUUUGAAUAAUUAAGUCAUCUGGAUUCUUAUGAUUUACCAUUUUCAGUGAUAAAUAGACAGUGCCCAAGCCAGCCAGUUGGCAAAACUCUGGCUGCUAGUUAUAAUUUGUCAAGCUGCCAGUAGAUUCAUGUUUCAUGCUAAUGGAGAGAGACUCAUUGACUGGGGAAGGCGGUGACCCGGUCAGCUCUUUCCUCAGGCACCCCAGAGGUCGAGAGGUCGGGGGGAGAAAGGCCGGGCCGGUAUGGAUUUGCUGUAAGGGUCAGUGUAAUUUUAUAAUAAUUCAGCGGGUACACACGCUCUCGAAUACACAGAGAGUCAUGUAUGCGGAGAUACGUUCGGAUCUGUGCACCUCCCCCGCCCAUGCACCUGCUCCAGUGCAGGCGUCUGGGCCCAGUGCACACAAGCCUGGUGCUGAAACACUUGUCCAGCCCCCCUCAGCUCACUUGCACAUGCACACCCUGCUGCCCCCUUCAGGCAUGUGAUGACACCUAAGGCAAACCUGCAGACCUGCUCAGACGCCCAGAGAAACAUAUCUCCCCUCACCGACAGUGCACACCUCAAAGAUGGGAAGAUACCUCUGGGGGACCCCUCUGACCACCACCCCAACCCCUUUAUUUCAGGGCUUUCGUGUCUGCCGUUCCCACUGCACAACUCUUGCUCCCUUUCUAACAGUCUUCCAGUGGGGGAGACAAAUGAGCCCUGGGGCCGUCCUAUUUUCCAACCGGCUGGGUCUGGGUAGCCGGAGUUGGGAAAGCACGGGCUCGGAGACAGGGCAUAUGGAAGGCGGCAAUCAAAAUCCAAACUUUCUUUUCCAUCAGUUCAUUUAUUUAUGUAUUUGUCCACAUGCACUAAAGCCUCACAGUGGCGAGCAUCUCAUGACUGACCGUCAUGAGAAACAGAGGUAGGGACAAGGCUUCGCACAUAGUAGGUACUAAAUAAAUAGCAGUGGCAGGAACAGCUGCAGCUACUGACUGAUUUCUCGACAGAACAAACUACUCAUUUCCCUUCUCUUCCUCCGCCUCAACAAACCUUUAUCAUCAGGGAAGGCCAGAGAAGAGGUGUGGGUCUGGGUGAAGCCCUCCUAUUCCUUGACUUGAGAAAUCUGGGCCUUUGGCGUGAUAAAAAAUGCUAAUUUUAUACCAACAGAAGCCAUCCGGUCUCAAUUUUGACCCCCAAAUGCCCUUAAAAUGGAUCAAUGAGCAAGGGAGGACUGAGGAAGGAGCAUCUGUCCUCCCUCCUGCCCAGAAGAGAAUGUGAAUUUGCUUUGAGUAAGUAGCUUGUGAGCAGGGCCAGAAGCCGCAGCUCCUUACCGUCGGCAGCUUUAAGGUUUGGCGGGGGCGUGCGGAAGGAUCAGGGGCCCGAGGAGAAACAUUGCCUUUCCCUGUCCACCAAAGCCCCUAAAGGAGAGAGAAAAACACAAUAGCGAGCCGAACAGAGCAGAGACCGAGGCAGCAAGGAGAACCCCCAAAGACAGAAGCUGCUUCCAGCGUCAGGCUCAGGCUCGAGGAUGCGGUCGCAGCUGUUGGCUCUGCCCGUGGAGAUUCAAGAUUCCGGAUCCUGCGAAGUGAAUUGGGUUCCCUCCUUCCCAGCGGGGCCAGGCUGGGGUCAAGGUGGCUGCUCUAGGCAGACAGUCUGGAACCCCUCCACCAAGGCCUGGAAUAAGAGGCCUCCCUUCUUUGCCGAGCAGAGGUGGAUGGCGGCGGCAGGCCCAGCUAAUCAGAGGCAUUCCUUGGAGAGACGGCCAAGAGCCAGAAUCGACCAGCUUCUCCAUUCAAGGGAAAGAGGACCCCUAAAUGCAUCGGGAAUAGGGAAACAGGCUUUGCUUAUUUAAUAGUUUGAGGCUUUGACCUGGUUUCACUGACGUCAUCCCACCUGCACCAAGGUGAGCUCCUGCAGGCCCUCACUCACCCCGGGAGAGCAACAGCCUUGGGGGCACCAGCAACUCCACCCCUAUGGGCAGGGGCAGGCCGACUGUGGCCUGCAGAUGGGUGAGGUGGGGAAGGAUUUUCUGGGGCAAGCCACGGGGACGUGAGGGCAGUAAUCAUGAUUGAUACAGAAAAUGUGUCGCUUCAUCCCGCAGUUGAUUAGCAAAGCUUCCUCCCCAUUUUGCCUCUCAUCUUCCGUUCCUAAUAUUUGCAUCCCGGUAAUGAACUCCUGAGGUCAGGGCACAUGUUACCUUGUCUGAAGGUCUCAGAGCAAAGCCUCUGAGUACGAAGACAGUACAAGAGCCCCAGCCUGGACUAGAUGAAGAGGGAGAGAGAAAGAAAAGGAAAAACAGGAAGAAGGAAGGAAGGGAGCAAGUGGGUGGGGGGAUGUGGAGAGAGAUAAAAGAAGGAAAGGAGCUUGAGAAUGGGGAGGAAAGCUAACAGAGCGAUGCUAAAGUUGGCCGGUGGUUUGAGGGUUGAAUCCUCAAGGCUUAUGCUGCCCUUGGAAGAUGUGCUGACCUUAGCGACCUGCCCCAUCCCACUUUGGGGAAACAAAGGAGUUAUCUAAUUGGCUUUAACUGGGUGGUUGCUGCUGGAGCACAUGGACAGCGUGGGGGAGCACAGGCCCAAGAGGCUGCAGACACACAACCACCCCAGGUCAACCUCCUCUAGAGGCUGAAUCUGAAGUCAUUUUGCCAAUUAAUCUCUGUGUGUGUGUGAGUUCUGUGAAAUACACUGCAGACCGAAAGUCCGCUUGCCCCAGGAAGGCAUGUCCUCGUUCUCUUUCAGCGUGCGAUGCUUUCUUUGGUUCCUCCAGCAUCUAUAAACCUCACACCAAGCUCUUUAUAGAUUAAUCCAACCCCUUCUGGCAUAGAGAAAUCCCUUGCCCCGGAAGGUAGCUUUCUGGGGCAGGGAUGGAGAUAAGUACGGCAAAGGAGGAAGAUUUUUCUUCUCACCAAGGAAGAAAAUGAAGAUGUCUUUCCCAGAACGCACCGGGCCUUAUCAUCACCCCUCUCUCACCUGCACACAUACAGGCAGGCUAACCAAAGUGCCAGAAGAACCCUCCAGUGCAAAGGGUUCAUUUGACACAGAGAACAAACUGAGGCCCAAGGUCACAGAGCCAGAGCAUGGCAGAACAAAGCAGCCCAGGCUGCAGACAGCGGAGGCAGGUCAGGAGGCAGAGCCAGGGUGGGUCCGCGACUCACCCCUCUCGAAACUGCUGCUUCUGCUUCCAGCACUGCUUUGGGAGCCAGAUAUUGACCUGCAGAGCCUCAAGGCCAGCCCCAGGCAGGUGCGGCUGCACGAGAACUCCUCCAGCUCUGUCAGCUACUUCGGAGAGAAGUGAGUCGCAAGAGGCUGGCCUCCGCCUCCGCCCCUCCUGUGGCGCCGGCCUGCAGCCUGCCUGGGGUGGGCACUGGAACCUGGGAGGUCAGGGUCACGGCAGCCAGGAUACCUGGGAGCCCCCGCCUCAGCCCCACUGGGCCUCUCCCCGCUCACCCUCCUCUCCGCGCCUUUCCUGCCGCUGUUCCUCCCGUCUAGACCCCCUUUCUGUUAACCCAGUUCCCCCUUCUUUCCUUUCUCUCUGUAUAUUUCUCAUUUUUCCUUCCUUCGUUUGCCUUCUUCCUGCCCUCCCUCCACUUUUUUCUCCUCUCUUCCUUCUUUCCU